This is an unclassified non-coding RNA of Callithrix jacchus (white-tufted-ear marmoset), 290 nucleotides long. It matches the Rfam family "Metazoan signal recognition particle RNA". From Rfam's summary of the family: The signal recognition particle (SRP) is a universally conserved ribonucleoprotein. NCBI's taxonomy places the organism in Eukaryota, Metazoa, Chordata, Mammalia, Primates, Cebidae. The record is from Ensembl.
GCUGAGCGCGGCGGAGCAUGCCUGUUGUCCAGCUACUCGGGAGGCUGAGGCUGGAGGAUCACUUGAGUCCAGGAGUUCUGGGCUGUAGUGUGCUAUGCCAAUCGGGUGUCUGCUCUAAGUUCGGCAUCAAUAUGAUGACCACCAGGUUGCCUAAGGAGGGGUGAACCAGCCCAAGUCAGAAACAAAGCAGGUCAAAACUCCUGUGCUGAUCAGUAGUGGGAUCGUGCCUGUGAAUAGCAAUUGCACUGCAGCCUAAGCAACCUGGGCAACAUAGCAAGAUCCCGUCUCUU